This 253-nucleotide ribosomal RNA is filed under the name uncultured bacterium. RNAcentral's name for it is "partial 16S ribosomal RNA". It matches the Rfam family "Bacterial small subunit ribosomal RNA", at positions 524 to 776 of the family's 1533-position model. The record is from RNAcentral.
UACGUAGGUGGCGAGCGUUGUCCGGAUUUACUGGGCGUAAAGGGAGCGUAGGCGGACUUUUAAGUGAGAUGUGAAAUACUCGGGCUCAACUUGCGUGCUGCAUUUCAAACUGGAAGUCUAGAGUGCAGGAGAGGAGAAUGGAAUUCCUAGUGUAGCGGUGAAAUGCGUAGAGAUUAGGAAGAACACCAGUGGCGAAGGCGAUUCUCUGGACUGUAACUGACGCUGAGGCUCGAAAGCGUGGGGAGCAAACAGG